RNAcentral lists this ribosomal RNA (105 nucleotides) under uncultured bacterium. Its description in RNAcentral is "partial 16S ribosomal RNA". It matches the Rfam family "Bacterial small subunit ribosomal RNA", at positions 1379 to 1482 of the family's 1533-position model. The record is from RNAcentral.
CCUUGUACACACCGCCCGUCACACCAUGGGAGUCAGUUGCUCCAGAAGUGGCUUACCUAACCCGCAAGGGAGGGUGGUCCCCAAGGAGUGGCUGGUAACUGGGUG